Molecule: long non-coding RNA, 2039 nt
Organism: Choloepus didactylus (southern two-toed sloth)
Lineage: Eukaryota; Metazoa; Chordata; Mammalia; Pilosa; Megalonychidae
Exons: 2
Source: RefSeq, a predicted model, not a curated record
GUUCCUGCCCGGCCCCCCACCCAGAAAAAGAUGCGUGAACCGCCCCCAGCCCGCUGACCCGGGAGGAGGGCGGAUCGAUAGGAAGGCGCUUCCCUGCCGAGGCGCGGCGACGGCCGGGGCGGGCUGGGGCUCCUGCUCGGGCAGGUGGCGCGAGGCGUCCCCGGGGGCCUAGCUGACCAAGGCGGCAGUGGCCGCCACCUGCAGGGCGGCCUCCAGGCCGUGCAGCGCCAGGAGCGCGGUGCCCAGGGCCACGUCCGCCCUCAGCACCAGGGUCUGCCAGUAGCGGAAGUGGACGCCGAGCAGGACCGCGGCGGCCGUCAGGAGCAGGCUGGCAGCCAGCGGCGCCUCGGCCUCCAGCAGGUUGCCCUUGGCGCCUGGGGGGCGGACGGCGCAGCGUGAGCACCGCCCCAGCCCGGCUCUGCCCUCCGACCCCCGGGGCCAGGAGCCACGGGCAGCGCCGCCCCCGACACGCCCACGCCAAGAAUCACAGACGCGGCAAAGAGCAAGCAGCCCGCGCCUGCUCCUGGGGGUGAAACCCCCUGGCAACCAAGGUGCCUUAUGGUUUCACGGUCCACUCACCAAGGUAGAGCCGAAUCACCUCCAGAAGGCCCAUCGCCAACAGCAGAGCCAGGUCGAGGACCAAGGAUGCGGGCGGGUAGCUGAACGCCUGACCUGCGGAAACCGGGCAGCAGGGCAGAAACCGGGUCACGGCCAGCCACCGACGGACAGCACUUCCAUCGCUACCACCCCGGCACUUACUCUUGUAGACGAUCAGCAGCAGCGUGGCCAGGAAAUACAGGAUGUAAAAGGCCCCACUGAGACAGAACAGCAUCUGCAGCAGCACCGACGAGCGCUGGCCAGGGGUUAAGGACGCUGACCCCAAGGACGAGCCCUGCCCCUGGGGGCCCCUCCCCGGACCGGCUCCCGCGCUCAGGGAACAGCAUCCCCCGUGCUGUCACCCGCCGGCUCCCUGCACAUCCGGGGAGUCCUUGCCAAUCCUGCCCCUGGAUUGUGCCAUGAGUGGGCAGGGCUCCCACUGGGCAGGGGGCACCCAGACGGAGGUGUGACCAAAGCCCCCAACCCCCAGAGCUCUGAGCCACACUCCCGGGCGACUGCUGGCUGCUGCCUCGACAGGGUGCCCUAGGUGCUGCCAGGCCUGCCCCUGCCCCAGUUACAAGUUAGGGAGAAGAAAAGGACCUUUAUCGUUUUCUUUGGAAAAAAUGUAUUUAUCACUUUUGGGGGGCAAAUAUUUACUAGCAGCCCUCUGGAGCUGUCCGCUUGAUAUUUAGGUAUGCUGAAAUGAGACAGUCACUGUGAAACCAGGCUCCUCCUCCUGCCACCGUGGACGGAUGGUGGCCACAGGGACAGGGUGGAGCACUCCCCGUCUAGAGGCAGCUUAGCUAUCCGAUCUGAUCCUAACACCCUUCCCACUUCAGAGUGGGAAUUCCCAGGCAAAGCUUCUAGAAAUGGAGAGGGGGCCUGACUGUGGCUCAGGGCAUGGUCUGGGGGCCUGGGUCCCGCAGAGCAGAGGGGGACAGGGUGCAGCAGCAGGAUACCGUCGUGGGGGACGCUCUCCCUGAAAGAGAAAGCAUCCACAGUGAGGCUGGAAAUCCCACCAGGGGGCAGGGGCCCUUCCUGGCCAGGGCGGAUCCCAGCUCCCUUCUCCUUUUUGGCUCGCGUUUUCCGUGGGCCUGUCCGUUGGGCGCCUUGCCCAGCCCUCUGCACACACGCCUUUGAGGAGGACCCUGAGCCAGCAGAGCCUCGACUUUCCUAAGAGCACACGGGACGUCCGUGGAGAGGCCGGGCCGAAGCCUAGGUCCACUCCCAGGUGGGGAGGGACGGCGCAGUCACACCCGCCGGGACGUCAGCAGACAGCAGCUUCCUUAUCCUCUGGUUUCCGCACAUUUGCCACACAUCUGCCAUUAGAUGAAAUCUUUGUCUGGUUCGGGUUUUUAACAAAUCUUUUCCCAUAAUGGAUUGUGUACAUUUACUUUCCUCUGGAAUUUUAAUUACUCUAAAUAGAAAACAGAAUUUCUAAA